GCGCGGCAAGGGCGGCAAGGGGCUGGGCAAGGGCGGCGCCAAGCGCCACCGGAAGGUCCUCCGCGACAACAUCCAGGGCAUCACCAAGCCGGCCAUCCGGAGGCUGGCCAGGAGAGGCGGUGUGAAGCGCAUCUCCGGCCUCAUCUACGAGGAGACCCGCGGCGUCCUCAAGAUCUUCCUCGAGAACGUCANUUUAUCGACUAGGUAAGAGAGAGUUGGAGAUGGUGAAGAGUACCUUGUUGUCGUUCCUGCGAGCUAGGACGCUUCCCAGUGAGAAUGCUUGUAGGAUAAGGAUGAUGGCAUGUGUUCACACUUUCAACCAAGAUUUCCACUAUUAGAUAAGAUUGGCGUGUUAGCUUUCAAGGCCCUACCUAUGUAAGACUUGACCUCAAUGGUCCUUAUUUGUAUCAAACAAUAUGUAUGGACGUAAGACUCUUGUUAUUUAGUUUCUAUGUGUUCAGCGAUCAUCGAUCUGUGGGAUCACUGAGCACGUACAUUCGGCGAUCUCGACCUACAAGUCGGGGUCCCCAUAAUGUUGUACUGAACACUAACUGUGUUCCCAAGGCUUGCUGUAAGUAAUCCCAAAACCUCAAAGUAAACUUAGUGCCUCAGUCGGAUACUAUGGUCUUUAGAAUUCCGUGCAAGCACACAAUACGAGCUAGGUACAGCCUGGCUACCUUGUGUGUGGAGUAGGUGGUCUUCACUGGAAUGAAAUGGGCCACUUUGGUAAGUAAAUUAGGGAUAACCCAUAUGGUAUGGUGUCCAUGUCGGGACUGGGGGUAGUCCGACAAUGAAAUCCAUGCCGAUCUCGUCCCACUUCCACUCAGGUACUUUCAUAGGUUGUAGUAGGCCAGCUAGUUUCUGGUGCUCGGCCUUGAGUCGCUGACAUGAAUUGGAGCGUGCAAUAAAAGAGGCGAUAUCUCGUCUUCCUGAGCAGAAUACAAACCCUAACAAAAUUUGAAGAAAGAUCUAACAAUGGAGCCCUCCCACCGGCAAGGGCCAAGAUCCUCUCCACCUCCAUGGCCCUAAGGCCACCGAAGACGGGGCGGACCAACAACGGCACCGGCGGGAGGCAUUGGAGCCCUAGCUUUUUUGGGGCGACGGCUAGGGUUAGCUAGGCGGGUGUUUUCGAUCGUCCUCCUCCUUGAGACUACCUACAAUAAAAAUAACAUAGAUAUUAACGUAAAUGCCAUCUAAACAAAAAAUAUGGUGUGCCAAAUAAUUAAUAUAAGAAGAAAGAAAAUUGACGAACUCAGCUAGUUACUCAUAGUAUGAAUAACGUAACACAUACAAAGACAAACUAAUAAAUAAAAAGCCCAAUAUUACUAUCUCUAUUACUAUCUCUAUGUCUAACGUAGACAUUUUUACCAUAAAAACGGAUCAUUAUUAUACUUGUUCUUCGCCCAUCACGGCUGUUUUUUUUCUGUAACUUUUUGGUCCUCGCAUGCUCCAAAGCGUGUCCUCGCCAACUGACCGUGUGCAACAGUUGAAAAUAAAAAGCAGACACUUGCAAUCCACCGCGCUCCUCUAGUCCACAGUCUCCAAUUCCGAAUCCAUCCCCACAUCCGCAGCCACGUCAUCGAUCCGCGCCACCCCCCUCGCACCCGCGCCCCCAUCCCACCCCUCCAAUUUCAAUCCAACGUCCCACCCCGCCCCUCCCACGGAUCGACCCAGCAAGCGCCUCCGUCCUCCCGCCCCAAAUCCACCCAAAUCCCGCGCUUCCCUCCCAAAUCCCGCCUAUAUAAACCCGCCUCCACCCUGAAUCCCACCACAAGCUUCAGCACCACUUCCUCUUCCCCCCAACCACACCUCUCUCGGAGCUAGGCGGAGCGGCGAUGUCUGGGCGCGGCAAGGGCGGCAAGGGGCUGGGCAAGGGCGGCGCCAAGCGCCACCGGAAGGUCCUCCGCGACAACAUCCAGGGCAUCACCAAGCCGGCCAUCCGGAGGCUGGCCAGGAGAGGCGGUGUGAAGCGCAUCUCCGGCCUCAUCUACGAGGAGACCCGCGGCGUCCUCAAGAUCUUCCUCGAGAACGUCAUCCGCGACGCCGUCACCUACACCGAGCACGCCCGCCGCAAGACCGUCACCGCCAUGGACGUCGUCUACGCGCUCAAGCGCCAGGGCCGCACCCUCUACGGCUUCGGCGGCUAGGUUCCCCGAUUCCGCUGGCGGCAGUAGCAGUAGUACGAAUGUAUCGGGUGUCCUCUGUGGUAGGUGGGAUGUACCACUGAUUUCG
This 2232-nucleotide long non-coding RNA is filed under the name Hordeum vulgare. RNAcentral describes it as "long non-coding RNA (HVUL_LNC005313)". Lineage: Eukaryota; Viridiplantae; Streptophyta; Magnoliopsida; Poales; Poaceae. The record is from RNAcentral.